RNAcentral lists this ribosomal RNA (2319 nucleotides) under Triticum aestivum (bread wheat). RNAcentral's name for it is "partial small subunit ribosomal RNA". Lineage: Eukaryota; Viridiplantae; Streptophyta; Magnoliopsida; Poales; Poaceae. The record is from RNAcentral.
AUGGCGGCGGCCAUGGAGAUCGAGGUCUCGGCGGACGACGUCGCGUACGAGGAGGACGUCCUGCGCGAUCCCUUCAGGCUGUCCGGCUGGCUGCGCUACCUGUCGGCUCGUCGCGCGGCGCCGCCGGCGAAGCGCGCGGCCAUCUACGAGCGGGCGCUGCGCGCCCUCCCCGGGUCGUACAAGCUGUGGCACGCCUACCUCACGGAGCUCGGCGACGCCGCGCGCGCGCUGCCCGUCACCCACGCCGCUCACGCCGGCCUCGACGCCGCCUUCGAGCGCGCGCUCGCCGCUGGCAUGUCCCGGAUGCCGCGCGUCUGGCACAUGUACGCCUCCUCGCUCCUCCACCAACGCCUCCUCACACGCGCCCGCCACGUGCUCGACCGCGCGCUGCGCUCGCUGCCCGUCACGCAGCACCACCACGUGUGGCCGCUUCACCUCCGCCUCGCCUCCCUGCCCGACUGCCCGGCCCCGACCGCGGUCCGUGUGCAUGGCCGCCACCUCCAGUUCGAUCCUGACCACGAGGAGGAUUUCAUCGCCUUCCUCGUCUCUGCCGGCAGAUGGCGGGACGCGGCCCAACACCUCGCCGCGGCCAUCGACGACGAAGGAUUCGUGUCCGUCAAGGGCACAACGAAGCGCCAGCUACUGCUUGACCUGUGUGGCCUGCUCGCCCAGCACCCGGAGGACGUCGCCGGGAUGCCGGUGGACGGAAUCCUCCGCGGCAGCAUCCGGAAGUUCCCCGAGGAGGCCGGCGUGCUGUGGACAAGCCUGGCCAGCCACUACGCGCGGAGAGGCCUCCACGGCAAGGCGAGGGACGUCUUCGAGGAGGCCAUGACCACGGCGACCACCGUCAAGGACUUCCGGAUGGUGUUCGACGCAUACUUGCACUUCGAGCACGCCAUGGCCGCCGCGGAGCUCGAGCUCUGCCAAGCGGACGCCGUCGACGUCCAGGACUGCUGGCUCGCCGACAGGGACAGCACGGACUUGGCGAUGGCGAGGCUGGAGCGGCUGCUCGAACGCCGGCCGGAGCUGCUCAACAGCGUCCUGCUGAGGCAGAACCCGCACGACGUCCAGGCGUGGCACGAACGGGCCAAGAUCUUCCACAAGGAUCCCGCGAGACACGCCGCGACCUACGCGGAGGCCGUCAGGACUGUCGAUCCAGCGAAGGCGACGGGGAAGCCGCCGCACACGCUCUGGCUGGCGCUGGCCAAGAUGUACGAGGACCGCGGCAGCGUCGGCUGCGCCCGAGACGUCCUCCACAGAGCCACGCAGGCAAACUUCACGGCGGCGGAGCACCUCGCCGCGGUUUACUGCGAGUGGGCCCACAUGGAACUGAGGCACCAGGAUCCCGAGCGGGCCAUCGACCUCAUCCGGCGAGCGACCACGCCACCGUCUAUCGAGCCCACGACGCACGCCGCUGCUGCCGGCGGCGAGGACGUUCGGGUGAAACUGCACCGGUGUCUCAAGCUGUGGCUCGUGUACCUGAACCUGAUGACAACACACGGGUCGCUCGAGUCCACCUGCGCUGUCUACGACAAGAUGCACGACCUCGGCGUCGUCACGCCAUUGCUGGUGCUGGACCACGCGACCCUACUCGAGCAGCACGGGCGGUUCGAGGACGCGUUCCGUGUGUACGAGCGGGGCGUCAGGUCCUUCAAGCACCCGCACGCCGACGCCAUAUGGGAGGCGUACCUGACCAAGUUCGUCCAGAGGCACGGGAAGAGCAGGCCGGAGAGGGUGCGGGACCUGUUCCAGGCGGCCGCCGUGUACCUGAGAUACGCGAGGUUCGGGGAGGACUUCGGCCUCGCCAGCCGCGCCAUGAAGGUGUACGUGGACGCUGCGAGCGCCGUCCCCGCCAGCGACAGGCUCGGCGUCUACGAGGUGUACGUCGCGCGGGCUACCGAGCUCUACGGCCUUCUGAAGGCGAGGGACGUGUACCAGCAGGCGAUCGUCGGCGGCGGGCUGCCCGACGAGGGCGCGAGGGCGAUGUGCGUCGGGUUCGCCGACCUCGAGAUCGUGCUCGGCGAAGUCGCGCGCGCUCGGGCGUUGUACGCAUACGCGGCGGCCUUCACGGAUCCCAAGGUUUACCCUGAGUUCUGGAAACGGCGGAACGACUUUGAGGUGCUACACGGCGACGAGGGUACGUUCAGGGAGAUGCUCCGCAUGAAGAGGACCAUGGCGGCCGUUGCCAGAGACGGAGCAGGGGCGCGGGUUGGUGUCAUCGUUGUUCUGGCGAGGCUCAAUGUCCCAGCCCCGAGAGUCAUGAACCCCCGAGAGUCCGGUAAUGAGGAUGUUGGAACCGAUGGGGUUCCGCCAAAUUAG